GUGCUCAUGGGCCUGGUCUCCUCUCAAGACACAGUCAGUUGUCGGGCAUAAGAGGCCACACUCAUCAUAGCAGAGAGGCAGGAUCAGCUGGGACAGGGUCCUUCUGUGACACCAACUGCAUCACCAGGCUGUGCAAAGUGACUCAGCUGCCAGAACUCACAGAAUAUCAUUCUGCACCAAAACCUCACAGGAAAAAUGGUGGACCCUGAAGUCUCUGCUCAGUUAGGUGAGGUUGGACAGAGGUUUGCGUCAAUGCCUUGAGCCGGUUGCCAUUGCCUGCUGUUGCUCUACAAAGGGACAGGACUUGACACAGAGACAGAGAACCCAUGGGCAAGCAGCAGCCGCAGGAAGCGGACCUGGCGAAAAAGAGCAGCGAAUCGGAACUGAGCGUGGGGGCAGUCCGGGGAGAUAGCGCCGGUCCUUCUAGAAGCCUUCCCUCCUCUGAAACCCGCUGCAGUCCACACCCCCCCAGGUUUAGCCCCCGCCCCGCUUAGGCUCCAUCCCCGAACUCACCGGCCCGCCCCGUCUCGGACCAGUCGAAUAGCAGGUACGGAAGAAUCGCGAGGCGCGGAAGGAUCGCGGGGCUGGCGGCCGCUGCCAUUGUAGAACAAGAGCGCCCGGGACACAACGCGCAGUCGAUGUGGAGACCAGCGGAUGAAUCACUUCGGCCCUCGCAUGCCAGCUAGUGAUUGAGUGUGCUCGGCCCCGUCCCGUCCCGCCCCGCCCCGGGAUCCAGGGGAGCCUAUGCCUGCCCAUGUUUGGAGGGAUGCUCCGCCCUAUCCCGCCCCGUCCCGCCCUUCCCCGCCCCACCCCAGGCUGGGACCCGGGUAGCCUGUGCCUGCUGUGGCUCCGCUUCGUCCCGCCCCGGGCUCGUGGCCUGACAGCGGCCCCCUCUGGCCAACCCUUACCCUCCACCCCGGGCUCCGCGCGGGCCAGGACGCGGUUCCUUCUUGACCGCCUCAUUUAAUUUUUUAACACACCAUUUAUUAUUACCCCAGUGUAAGCACUGAUGCACAGGAAAGCGAAGAAACUUGCACAGGGAUAUUCAGUGGCGGCUGUGUCCCCCCGUCACUGCCUCCGCCAGCGACACCUGCCCUCCUUCAGCCUGCGCCAAGGAGUCCCCGCCCCUCUCCGUCCAGGGCGCAGCUGCUUCCCAGUCCGGGGCAGACCUUCUUUGCCUCUCCACUAAAAGCAUGAGGAAUAUAUAGAAUACAUAUAGAAUAAAGUAUAUUCUAUAUCCCUUUA
This is a long non-coding RNA of Pan troglodytes (chimpanzee), 1245 nucleotides long. RefSeq lists it as uncharacterized. The transcript has 4 exons. The record is from RefSeq and is a predicted model, not a curated record. NCBI's taxonomy places the organism in Eukaryota, Metazoa, Chordata, Mammalia, Primates, Hominidae.